GGCAAGUCCGAACGAUCUCUGGAAAUGUCGGUGCUCGCAUCAUGAUUUACAUUUGAGUGAGUGGCGAACUGGUGAGUAACACGUGGGAAACCUGCCCAGAAGCGGGGGAUAACACCUGGAAACAGAUGCUAAUACCGCAUAACAACUUGGACCGCAUGGUCCGAGUUUGAAAGAUGGCUUCGGCUAUCACUUUUGGAUGGUCCCGCGGCGUAUUAGCUAGAUGGUGGGGUAACGGCUCACCAUGGCAAUGAUACGUAGCCGACCUGAGAGGGUAAUCGGCCACAUUGGGACUGAGACACGGCCCAAACUCCUACGGGAGGCAGCAGUAGGGAAUCUUCCACAAUGGACGAAAGUCUGAUGGAGCAACGCCGCGUGAGUGAAGAAGGGUUUCGGCUCGUAAAACUCUGUUGUUAAAGAAGAACAUAUCUGAGAGUAACUGUUCAGGUAUUGACGGUAUUUAACCAGAAAGCCACGGCUAACUACGUGCCAGCAGCCGCGGUAAUACGUAGGUGGCAAGCGUUGUCCGGAUUUAUUGGGCGUAAAGCGAGCGCAGGCGGUUUUUUAAGUCUGAUGUGAAAGCCUUCGGCUCAACCGAAGAAGUGCAUCGGAAACUGGGAAACUUGAGUGCAGAAGAGGACAGUGGAACUCCAUGUGUAGCGGUGAAAUGCGUAGAUAUAUGGAAGAACACCAGUGGCGAAGGCGGCUGUCUGGUCUGUAACUGACGCUGAGGCUCGAAAGUAUGGGUAGCAAACAGGAUUAGAUACCCUGGUAGUCCAUACCGUAAACGAUGAAUGCUAAGUGUUGGAGGGUUUCCGCCCUUCAGUGCUGCAGCUAACGCAUUAAGCAUUCCGCCUGGGGAGUACGGCCGCAAGGCUGAAACUCAAAGGAAUUGACGGGGGCCCGCACAAGCGGUGGAGCAUGUGGUUUAAUUCGAAGCUACGCGAAGAACCUUACCAGGUCUUGACAUACUAUGCAAAUCUAAGAGAUUAGACGUUCCCUUCGGGGACAUGGAUACAGGUGGUGCAUGGUUGUCGUCAGCUCGUGUCGUGAGAUGUUGGGUUAAGUCCCGCAACGAGCGCAACCCUUAUUAUCAGUUGCCAGCAUUAAGUUGGGCACUCUGGUGAGACUGCCGGUGACAAACCGGAGGAAGGUGGGGAUGACGUCAAAUCAUCAUGCCCCUUAUGACCUGGGCUACACACGUGCUACAAUGGAUGGUACAACGAGUUGCGAACUCGCGAGAGUAAGCUAAUCUCUUAAAGCCAUUCUCAGUUCGGAUUGUAGGCUGCAACUCGCCUACAUGAAGUCGGAAUCGCUAGUAAUCGCGGAUCAGCAUGCCGCGGUGAAUACGUUCCCGGGCCUUGUACACACCGCCCGUCACACCAUGAGGAGUUUGUAACACCCAAAGUCGGUGGGGUAACCUGAGGAACCAAGCCGC
This 1435-nucleotide ribosomal RNA is filed under the name Lactobacillus sp. RNAcentral describes it as "bacterial SSU rRNA". It matches the Rfam family "Bacterial small subunit ribosomal RNA". The record is from RNAcentral. Lineage: Bacteria; Bacillati; Bacillota; Bacilli; Lactobacillales; Lactobacillaceae.